CGGGGGGCUUUAAACGUGCGAGUUCGAGCGGAAGGCCUCUUCGGGGGUACUCGAGCGGCGAACGGGUGAGUAACACGUGAGUAAUCUGCCCUUGGCUUCGGGAUAGCUUCGGGAAACCGAAAUUAAUACCGGAUAUGACACUCCUCCGCAUGGGGUGGGUGUGGAAAGUUUUUCGGCCAGGGAUGUGCUCGCGGCCUAUCAGCUUGUUGGUGGGGUAAUGGCCUACCAAGGCUUCGACGGGUAGCCGGCCUGAGAGGGUGACCGGCCACACUGGGACUGAGACACGGCCCAGACUCCUACGGGAGGCAGCAGUGGGGAAUAUUGGACAAUGGGCGGAAGCCUGAUCCAGCAACGCCGCGUGAGGGAUGACGGCCUUGGGUUGUAAACCUCUUUCGCCUGUGACGAAGCGCAAGUGACGGUAACAGGUAAAGAAGCACCGGCCAACUACGUGCCAGCAGCCGCGGUAAUA
RNAcentral lists this ribosomal RNA (469 nucleotides) under uncultured Nocardioides sp. RNAcentral's name for it is "bacterial SSU rRNA". It matches the Rfam family "Bacterial small subunit ribosomal RNA", at positions 40 to 525 of the family's 1533-position model. Lineage: Bacteria; Bacillati; Actinomycetota; Actinomycetes; Propionibacteriales; Nocardioidaceae. The record is from RNAcentral.